UCCUAGCGGAAAACUCUUGUAAGCUCUAAAUUUAAACAGUGGCGCGUGUCAAGUGGUGAGAUACCCAAAAAUGCAUUUAUCGUGUUUUUUUUAUGUUUUUAGUUACUUGUGUUUAAAAAUUUAUAUCAUUUUUAAAACUUGUAUUUACAGUCAUUAUAAAUCCACCGACACAACAAGGAAUUAUUAUAACUGUGACAAAUUUUAUUUAAAUAAAUAAAUGCAGUUAUUUGUUGUUUUUGUGAUGCUGAGACGUGCUUCAUGUGCUGUUAUUCGUUUUUUUGCACUAUAUCAAAAUCAAACAAGAAAAAGGAGAUUCUUAUAAUUACUGAAAAAUGAAAAGUAGUAAAGACGACGUAGAAAAGUACACAAAUGUUACAGCACAUGCAGAUUCUAAGUUAAUAUUCAAAAAUUUACAAAAUCAAUUGGAAUUUGUUAAAUUACCUGACAAGAGGUGGUGUUAUACAAAAGGAAAUGAAACCUUUUUUGGUUUUCAAAGAGUUGAAGAGAAUUACAAAGUUUUAAAAAGAGUGGCAGUAUUUAAUAAUAUGGAAAUAAGAAUUUAUUUUAACAACAAAGUGAUGCCUUUUUCGCCAUACAUAAAAGUAACUAAUGUCGAAGAAUUUAAUAAUCUUUUAAAAACUAUUAACGAGGUUAAUGUGAAUGCAGUAGAAAUGACAAAUGUAAUUUAAAAGAAAAGAACUUCUGAUACGAGCGCCUAAAAUUUACAAACUUUAUACAAUUAUGGUAAUCAACUUGUGAAUUAUAUUUUUGUUUUAUUUAGAUUUUAUUUUAUAUAUUUUAAAAUUUGCAAUAUUAUUUUAUUUUUAAUUUAUACAUGAAAUUUUUAAGUAUAAAAUAGAAAUUUUUAUAGUCUCAAUAUUUUAAUAUUGGAGGAUUUUUAAUUAUUUUAUUGUUAUUGUAUUAAAUAUGUAAUGAAAUGGAAAUUAAUUUUUGAUUUAUACAAGGAAUUUUUUCAUAGUUUUCUAUUUUUGACAUUUAAUAUAUAUUUUUUAAUGCGUUUUAGCUAUUUAGAUGAAUGAAUUUGUAUAUAUUUAUAUUUAUUAAAAAUUGUAUAGAUUAUAAUAAAUAAGAAAUUAAGUGAUUUAUAAAAUGUAGUACAAAAGGUGUCAAUAAAAAUGUAUUUUUUAUUGUA
This is a long non-coding RNA of Leptopilina boulardi, 1153 nucleotides long. RefSeq lists it as uncharacterized. The record is from RefSeq and is a predicted model, not a curated record. Lineage: Eukaryota; Metazoa; Arthropoda; Insecta; Hymenoptera; Figitidae. The transcript has 3 exons.